Molecule: ribosomal RNA, 700 nt
Filed under: Serratia marcescens
Lineage: Bacteria; Pseudomonadati; Pseudomonadota; Gammaproteobacteria; Enterobacterales; Yersiniaceae
Description: bacterial SSU rRNA
Rfam family: Bacterial small subunit ribosomal RNA
Source: RNAcentral
GCUUACACAUGCAAGUCGAGCGGUAGCACAGGGGAGCUUGCUCCCUGGGUGACGAGCGGCGGACGGGUGAGUAAUGUCUGGGAAACUGCCUGAUGGAGGGGGAUAACUACUGGAAACGGUAGCUAAUACCGCAUAACGUCGCAAGACCAAAGAGGGGGACCUUCGGGCCUCUUGCCAUCAGAUGUGCCCAGAUGGGAUUAGCUAGUAGGUGGGGUAAUGGCUCACCUAGGCGACGAUCCCUAGCUGGUCUGAGAGGAUGACCAGCCACACUGGAACUGAGACACGGUCCAGACUCCUACGGGAGGCAGCAGUGGGGAAUAUUGCACAAUGGGCGCAAGCCUGAUGCAGCCAUGCCGCGUGUGUGAAGAAGGCCUUCGGGUUGUAAAGCACUUUCAGCGAGGAGGAAGGUGGUGAGCUUAAUACGCUCAUCAAUUGACGUUACUCGCAGAAGAAGCACCGGCUAACUCCGUGCCAGCAGCCGCGGUAAUACGGAGGGUGCAAGCGUUAAUCGGAAUUACUGGGCGUAAAGCGCACGCAGGCGGUUUGUUAAGUCAGAUGUGAAAUCCCCGGGCUCAACCUGGGAACUGCAUUUGAAACUGGCAAGCUAGAGUCUCGUAGAGGGGGGUAGAAUUCCAGGUGUAGCGGUGAAAUGCGUAGAGAUCUGGAGGAAUACCGGUGGCGAAGGCGGCCCCCUGGACGA